AUGGCAGAGCAUUGCAAGAUCUCUGCUGCCAUUGUAGCUGGAUCUCAGGAGAAGUCGUGUGUGCUCAAGAUAGAUAGAUACUCAAGAGCCAAGGCGCUACUCAAGAAUGGCGAGGGCCUGACUUCUGCCCCUUUCAGUGUUGGAGGCCACGACUGGACCAUAGAAUACUACCCAAACGGUUACCCUAAGGAUUGCACCGACUUCAUAUCUCUUUAUCUGGCUCUUCAAUCUGCCGGUGCGGAAGAUGUGAACGCGAAAUACACGCUCAGUGUACUUGGCAAGAAUGGAGAACUGCUGCCUUCAUAUAGCCGUACCCCCAACGCUAUACGCACAUUCUCAAGGGGAAUUACAAGCUGGGGCUACCAUGAGUUCAUCAAGAAGGCUGAUCUGGAGGCAUUGGCGCAUCUAAGAGACGACUGUCUCACCCUAAGGUGCGAUAUCACCGUCAUCCAUGCCCAAGAAACAAGUGUUCCUCCAAGUGAUCUGCAUCGGCAUCUCGGUGACCUGCUCAAGAACAAGGAUGCAGCAGACGUAACCUUUCAAGUCGGCGGGCAGCCAUUGUCUGCUCACAGGUGUGUCCUCGCUGCUCGGUCUUCUGUCUUCAAGGCGGAGCUUUUUGGAGCCAUGCAGGAGAGUUCUGCUGCUAGUCCUAUUGAAAUCUGUGACAUGGAAGCAGAUGUGUUCAAGUCAUUGCUCCAUUUCAUAUACACCGACUCGGUUCCUCCUGAGUUUGAUGUGGUGAUGGCUGGCCAUCUUCUCGUGGCGGCUGACAGGUACAAUAUCGGGAGGUUGAAGCUGAUAUGCGAGGAGAAAUUGUGCAGUCACAUUGAUUCCGACAUGGUGGCAACUAGUUUGGCAUUAGCCGAGCAGCAUGGUUUCCGUCGUCUCAAAGAUGCUUGUUUCCAGUUCCUUACUUCUCCGUCCAAUUUUGAGGCGAUGACAGCAAGUGAUGGGUAUGAGCAUCUCAAAUCUAGCUGCCCGUAUGUUCUGAGGGAGCUGAUAGCUAGAAUAAUCCCGACAGAAUUUAAAUCGGCAAAGGAUAUUAUCAUGACAAUUUAG
RNAcentral lists this ribosomal RNA (1059 nucleotides) under Triticum aestivum (bread wheat). RNAcentral's name for it is "partial small subunit ribosomal RNA". The record is from RNAcentral. Lineage: Eukaryota; Viridiplantae; Streptophyta; Magnoliopsida; Poales; Poaceae.